CCUACGGUGGGCAGCAGUGGGGAAUAUUGGACAAUGGGCGAAAGCCUGAUCCAGCCAUGCCGCGUGUGUGAAGAAGGCCUUCGGGUUGUAAAGCACUUUCAGUGGGGAAGAAAGCCUUGGGGCUAAUACCCUCGAGGAAGGACAUCACCCACAGAAGAAGCACCGGCUAACUCCGUGCCAGCAGCCGCGGUAAUACGGAGGGUGCGAGCGUUAAUCGGAAUUACUGGGCGUAAAGCGCGCGUAGGCGGUCUGAUAAGCCGGUUGUGAAAGCCCCGGGCUCAACCUGGGAACGGCAUCCGGAACUGUCAGGCUAGAGUGCAGGAGAGGAAGGUAGAAUUCCCGGUGUAGCGGUGAAAUGCGUAGAGAUCGGGAGGAAUACCAGUGGCGAAGGCGGCCUUCUGGACUGACACUGACGCUGAGGUGCGAAAGCGUGGGUAGCAAACAGGAUUAGAUACCCUGGUAGUC
RNAcentral lists this ribosomal RNA (465 nucleotides) under Vreelandella stevensii. RNAcentral's name for it is "partial 16S ribosomal RNA". It matches the Rfam family "Bacterial small subunit ribosomal RNA", at positions 338 to 795 of the family's 1533-position model. The record is from RNAcentral. Lineage: Bacteria; Pseudomonadati; Pseudomonadota; Gammaproteobacteria; Oceanospirillales; Halomonadaceae.